UACGAAGGGGGCUAGCGUUGCUCGGAAUCACUGGGCGUAAAGCGCACGUAGGCGGACUCUUAAGUCAGGGGUGAAAUCCUGGAGCUCAACUCCAGAACUGCCUUUGAUACUGGGAGCCUUGAGUUCGAGAGAGGUGAGUGGAACUGCGAGUGUAGAGGUGAAAUUCGUAGAUAUUCGCAAGAACACCAGUGGCGAAGGCGGACUCACUGGCUCGGAUACUGACGGCUGAGGUGCGAAAGCGUGGGGAGCAAACAGG
This 256-nucleotide ribosomal RNA is filed under the name uncultured bacterium. RNAcentral describes it as "partial 16S ribosomal RNA". It matches the Rfam family "Bacterial small subunit ribosomal RNA", at positions 524 to 776 of the family's 1533-position model. The record is from RNAcentral.